GAGUUUGAUCGUGGCUCAGGAUGAACGCUAGCGGCAGGCCUAACACAUGCAAGUCGAGGGGCAGCAUAGAAUUAGCUUGCUAAUUUGGUGGCGACCGGCGCACGGGUGCGUAACGCGUAUGCAACCUACCCUGUACUGAGGGAUAGCCCAGAGAAAUUUGGAUUAACCCCUCAUGGUAUUAUCGGAUCGCAUGAUUUGAUAAUUAAAGGUUACGGUACAGGAUGGGCAUGCGUCCUAUUAGCUAGUUGGUACGGUAACGGCGUACCAAGGCGACGAUAGGUAGGGGGCCUGAGAGGGUGGUCCCCCACACUGGUACUGAGACACGGACCAGACUCCUACGGGAGGCAGCAGUGAGGAAUAUUGGUCAAUGGGCGCAAGCCUGAACCAGCCAUGCCGCGUGCAGGAAGAAUGCCCUAUGGGUUGUAAACUGCUUUUAUUUGGGAAUAACCUCCUUACGUGUAGGGAGCUGAAGGUACCAAAUGAAUAAGCACCGGCUAACUCCGUG
RNAcentral lists this ribosomal RNA (505 nucleotides) under uncultured Flavobacterium sp. RNAcentral's name for it is "bacterial SSU rRNA". It matches the Rfam family "Bacterial small subunit ribosomal RNA", at positions 9 to 507 of the family's 1533-position model. Lineage: Bacteria; Pseudomonadati; Bacteroidota; Flavobacteriia; Flavobacteriales; Flavobacteriaceae. The record is from RNAcentral.